Termitomyces sp. Mi166#008 is the source of this 90-nucleotide non-coding RNA. Lineage: Eukaryota; Fungi; Basidiomycota; Agaricomycetes; Agaricales; Lyophyllaceae. The record is from the annotation of a GenBank genome assembly.
UCCCUCUUAGCUCAGUGGUAGAGCGCGUCACUAGUAUCAAAUAUCCUCAUCCUCAUGACGAGGUCAGUCGUUCAAGUCGGCUAGAGGGAA